This 534-nucleotide ribosomal RNA is filed under the name uncultured bacterium. RNAcentral describes it as "partial 16S ribosomal RNA". The record is from RNAcentral.
GGAGUUAGCCGGUGCUUCUUCUGUGAGUGAUGUCCUUCCUGCCGGCUAUUAACCCGCAGGCCUUCUUCCUCACUGAAAGUGCUUUACAACCCGAAGGCCUUCUUCACACACGCGGCAUGGCUGGAUCAGGGUUGCCCCCAUUGUCCAAUAUUCCCCACUGCUGCCUCCCGUAGGAGUCUGGGCCGUGUCUCAGUCCCAGUGUGGCUGAUCAUCCUCUCAGACCAGCUACGGAUCGUCGCCUUGGUGAGCCGUUACCUCACCAACCAGCUAAUCCGACAUAGGCUCAUCCGAUAGCGCGAGGCCCGAAGGUCCCCCGCUUUCCCCCGUAGGGCGUAUGCGGUAUUAGCCUGGGUUUCCCCAGGUUAUCCCCCACUACCGGGCAGAUUCCUAUGCAUUACUCACCCGUCCGCCGCUCGCCACCAGGGAGCAAGCUCCCCGUGCUGCCGCUCGACUUGCAUGUGUUAGGCCUGCCGCCAGCGUUCAAUCUGAGCCAGNGNACAACUCACNCUAGCGGCGGNGUCGACGACGGCGCAG